GUCAGGAUGUGGAGCUGUGGUUCUGAAAAGGACAGUCGCGUAUUCCACAGGCCCUGAGGAGGCUGAACUUCCCGGCGGUUCCUGCAGGUGGAAGAAAACCUUGGGAACAGGCUGUGGUGAGAAGGAAGAGAACAGCUGCAACCAGAGCAGUGGUGGGCAGGAAGGAGCUCAGCACCACAAGGGCAUGGAGACUGCUGCAGGGAAAACCAGGAUAUCUCCGUUACUGUUUACAGCACCAGAGCCUCACGAAUUCUGAAGAACCUCGAGUGGUGAUUCAUCAGAGGGAGAAGACAGGAAAAAACAACCCUCAUGGAGGGUCCACGUCCCCCAGCACAGGGGCAGAGCCAAGGUCAGCACAGUCCCUGAUGUCCCUUCCCACCCAAACCAUUCUGUGAUUCUAUGAUAUAUUCUGUCCCAGACCCACUUGGUUUUGAUUAAUACAAUCCUACAACAUUGCAUUCAUUGUUUUUUAUGGUAACCAGUAAAUUAUUGAUUAUUUUCUUUUUUUUUUCCUUUGAGACAUUUUAUUUAAUAUAGCAAAAAUAAUUUCCUGGACACUUCUGCCUCUUGAUACACACAAGUACCUGUCAUGGUUCUGUGUUGAACUAUGUAAUAGAGUUUUGCCCUGUCCUGGAUAACCUCUGAUGAGAUCUUUGUGUCCCAGUACAACAUCUUUAGCUGUGAAACAAAAAUGGGAAUGACACAUCAUUCUUGAUUUAUUUUGGCUGUCUCCCACCCAGCACACCGUUGACCUCAGAGCUCACCCUCAGGUGAAACCACCAUCUGUAUUCCCUGCAGAAGAAUAUUCUGCAGAUAUCCACAGCCGAGGGCCAGAUUCCCUCUUGGAAGUGCUGCCCUGAUCACUGAAAACCAGCGAUGUCCAGAGUCCAUCAGUCCCCUGAGCAGUGCAGGGUGUGGAAAAGGUUAAUCCUUUCUUUCACAGGGAAGCUCAAGGCUAAGACUGGACAGGACGUUUCUGACAGCCCCUUGCACCACUAUCUCUUCUCCCAUAACUUCAUAACUUCUUGUUGGCUCUGGAGGACUCUCCCUCUGUGCACAGACACUCUUAUGAGCCUUACCUGGUAGUGCCAGCAAGAGCAGCAGGGCUGGAAAACCUU
Molecule: long non-coding RNA, 1118 nt
Organism: Corapipo altera (White-ruffed manakin)
Lineage: Eukaryota; Metazoa; Chordata; Aves; Passeriformes; Pipridae
Exons: 3
Source: RefSeq, a predicted model, not a curated record